This 459-nucleotide ribosomal RNA is filed under the name uncultured organism. RNAcentral describes it as "partial 16S ribosomal RNA". It matches the Rfam family "Bacterial small subunit ribosomal RNA", at positions 333 to 800 of the family's 1533-position model. The record is from RNAcentral.
ACACUCCUACGGGAGGCAGCAGUGGGGAAUAUUGCACAAUGGGCGCAAGCCUGAUGCAGCGACGCCGCGUGGGGGAUGAAGGCCUUCGGGUUGUAAACUCCUUUCGCUAGGGACGAAGCUUUUUUGUGACGGUACCUAGAUAAGAAGCACCGGCUAACUACGUGCCAGCAGCCGCGGUAAUACGUAGGGUGCGAGCGUUGUCCGGAAUUACUGGGCGUAAAGGGCUCGUAGGUGGUUUGUCGCGUCGUCUGUGAAAUUCUGGGGCUUAACUCCGGGCGUGCAGGCGAUACGGGCAUAACUUGAGUGCUGUAGGGGUAACUGGAAUUCCUGGUGUAGCGGUGAAAUGCGCAGAUAUCAGGAGGAACACCGAUGGCGAAGGCAGGUUACUGGGCAGUUACUGACGCUGAGGAGCGAAAGCAUGGGUAGCGAACAGGAUUAGAAACCCCAGUAGUCCCAUGA